Molecule: long non-coding RNA, 2608 nt
Filed under: Calidris pugnax (ruff)
Lineage: Eukaryota; Metazoa; Chordata; Aves; Charadriiformes; Scolopacidae
Description: lncRNA (ENSCPUG00000010629.1)
Source: RNAcentral
AUGGCCGGUACCACCGGGAUCCAGGGAUCUGGGACCACUGGGAUUUGGCUUCCCAGUAUCCAGCAUCACUGGGAUCCGCUGGGAUUUGGCUCUCAGGGAUCCAGCACCACCGGGAUCUGGGGAUCUGGCAGGGAUGGGGUUUGGUGCUCGGAUGUUGGGCACCACCGGGAUCCGGGGAUCCAGCACCACCAGGGUUUGGCUCUCCGGGAUCUGGCGCUGCCAGGAUGUGACUCUUGGGCAUCUGGGAUCCGGGGAUCCGGCACCGCCGGGGGUUUGGCUCCCCGGGAUCCGGCACCACUGGGUUCCAGGGAUCCGGCACCGCCGGGGUUUGGCUCCCCGGGAUCUGGGAGCACCGGGAUUUGGGGAUCCAGGCUCUGGCUCCAGGCGGUUCCGGCUCCGCGGCAGCGGGUGCAGGUGUGUGGUGGGGCCGUGUCCCUCUGUCCCCUCCCCGUGUCCCUCUGUCCCCUCCCCGUGUCCCUGUCCCUCUGCACAUCCAGGGGUCCGUGUCCAUGCAUGUCCCUCCGUGUCCCCGUGUCCGUCUGUGCGUCCCCGUGUCUGUCCCUCCAUGUCACCCCAUGUCACUCCGUGUCCCUCUGUGUCCUUGUCCCUGUCGCCGUGUCCAUCCGUGUCCUUUUAUGUCUCUGUCCCUCCGUGUCCCUCUGUCCCCCCACAUCCAUGCAUGUCCCUCUGUUGUCCCCCUGUGUCUACGCGCGUCCCCCUGUGUCUACGCGCGUCCCCCUGUGUCUGUCUGUCCCCCAGUGUCCACACGUGUCCCUCUGUCCCUUUGUGUAUCCCUCUGUCCCCCAUGUCCACGUGUGUCCCUCCAUCCCUCCGUGUCUCUCUGUCCCCCCAUGUCCACACGUGUCCCUCCGUGUCCACAUGUGUCCCUCUGUCCCUCCGUGUCCCUGUCCCUCCAUGUCCAUGCGUGUCCCUCUGGCUGUGUCCCUCUGUCCCUCCGUGUCUACGUGUGUCCCUCUGUCUUUCCAUGUCCCCCGUGUCCCUCUGUGUCCACGUGUGUCCCUCUGUCCCUCCGUGUCCCUCUGUCCUCCAUGUCCACACCCAUCCCUCCCAUUCCCAUGUCCCUCUGUCCCUCCGUGUCCCUCUGUCCUCCAUGUCCACACCCAUCCCUCCCAUUCCCAUGUCCCUCUGUCCCUCCGUGUCCCUCUGUCCUCCAUGUCCACACCCAUCCCUCCCAUUCCCAUGUCCCUCUGUCCCUCCGUGUCCACAUGUGUCCCUCUCCCCCACAUCCACACGUGUCCCUCUGUCUUUCCGUGUCCCUCUGUCCCUCCGUGUCCCUCUGUCCUCCAUGUCCACACCCAUCCCUCCCAUUCCCAUGUCCCUCUGUCCCUCCGUGUCCCUCUGUCCCCCUGUAUCCAUGUGUGUCCCUGUCUUUCCGUGUCCCUCUGUCCCCCCACGUCCACGCAUGUCCACACGUGUCCCUCCAUGUCCACACGUGUCCCUCUGUCCCUCCGUGUCCACAUGUGUCUCUCUGUCCCUCCGUGUCCCUCUGUCCCCCCACAUCCAUGCAUGUCCCUCUGUUGUCCCCCUGUGUCUACGCGCGUCCCCCUGUGUCUACGCGCGUCCCCCUGUGUCUGUCUGUCCCCCAGUGUCCACACGUGUCCCUCUGUCCCUUUGUGUAUCCCUCUGUCCCCCAUGUCCACGUGUGUCCCUCCAUCCCUCCGUGUCUCUCUGUCCCCCCAUGUCCACACGUGUCCCUCCGUGUCCACAUGUGUCCCUCUGUCCCUCCGUGUCCCUGUCCCUCCAUGUCCAUGCGUGUCCCUCUGGCUGUGUCCCUCUGUCCCUCCGUGUCUACGUGUGUCCCUCUGUCUUUCCAUGUCCCCCGUGUCCCUCUGUGUCCACGUGUGUCCCUCUGUCCCCCACAUCCACAUGUGUCCCUCUGUCCCCUGUGUCCCUCUGUGUCCACACGUAUCUCUCUGUCCCUCCCUGUCCCUCUGUCCCCCACGUCCACGCGUGUCCCUCUGUCCCUCCGUGUCCCUCUGUCCUCCAUGUCCACACCCAUCCCUCCCAUUCCCAUGUCCCUCUGUCCCUCCGUGUCCACAUGUGUCCCUCUCCCCCACAUCCACACGUGUCCCUCUGUCUUUCCGUGUCCCUCUGUCCCCCCAUGUCCACGCAUGUCCCUCCCCAUUCCCAUGUCCCUCUGUCCCCCAUGUCCACGCGUGUCCCUCUGUCCCUCCGUGUCCCUCUGUCUUUCCGUGUCCCUCUGUCCCCCCAUGUCCACGCAUGUCCCUCCCCAUUCCCAUGUCCCUCUGUCCCCCAUGUCCACGCGUGUCCCUCUGUCCCUCCGUGUCCCUCUGUCUUUCCGUGUCCCUCUGUCCCCAACAUCCACACCCCGUGUCCCUCCCCCUUCCCCGUGUCCCUCCCCGUUCCCGCGUCCCGCCCUCCCCACCUCACACACGCCUGCCACACGCCUCCUACAUGCCCCCACACGCCUCCCACACGCCUCCCACACGCCAUGGCCCCCUCGGGGCCACCGGAACGGGGUUCUCUGGCCCGUUUGGCUCGAGACACCUCCUGCCCGGCCUGUGGGCUGGCGCUGAGGGACCCCGUCCUCCUGCCCUGCAACCACAGCUGCUGCCGACGCUGCCUG